AGAGUUUGAUCCUGGCUCAGAGUGAACGCUGGCGGCAUGCCUAACACAUGCAAGUCGAACGGUAACAGGCCCGCAAGGGUGCUGACGAGUGGCGGACGGGUGAGGAAUACAUCGGAAUUUGCCCAGUCGUGGGGGAUAACGUAGGGAAACUUACGCUAAUACCGCAUACGACCGGAAGGUGAAAGCGGGGGAUCGCAAGACCUCGCGCGGAUGGAUAAGCCGAUGUCGGAUUAGCUAGUUGGCGGGGUAAAGGCCCACCAAGGCGACGAUCCGUAGCUGGUCUGAGAGGAUGAUCAGCCACACUGGGACUGAGACACGGCCCCAGACUCCUACGGGAGGCAGCAGUGGGGAAUAUUGGACAAUGGGGGCAACCCUGAUCCAGCAAUGCCGCGUGUGUGAAGAAGGCCUUCGGGUUGUAAAGCACUUUUAUCCGGAACGAAACGCGCAGGGUGAAUAUCCUUGCGAACUGACGGUACCGGAGGAAUAAGCACCGGCUAACUUCGUGCCAGCAGCCGCGGUAAUACGAAGGGUGCAAGCGUUACUCGGAAUUACUGGGCGUAAAGGGUGCGUAGGUGGUUUUUUAAGUCCGUUGUGAAAUCCCUGGGCUCAACCUGGGAAUGGCAGUGGAUACUGGAAAGCUAGAGUGCGGUAGAGGGUAGUGGAAUUCCCGGUGUAGCAGUGAAAUGCGUAGAGAUCGGGAGGAACACCAGUGGCGAAGGCGGCUACCUGGACCAGCACUGACACUGAGGCACGAAAGCGUGGGGAGCAAACAGGAUUAGAUACCCUAGUAGUCC
This 794-nucleotide ribosomal RNA is filed under the name uncultured bacterium. RNAcentral describes it as "bacterial SSU rRNA". It matches the Rfam family "Bacterial small subunit ribosomal RNA", at positions 8 to 796 of the family's 1533-position model. The record is from RNAcentral.